GGGGAAUAUUGCACAAUGGGCGAAAGCCUGAUGCAGCAACGCCGCGUGAGCGAUGAAGGCCUUCGGGUCGUAAAGCUCUGUCCUUGGGGAAGAAAAAAAUGACGGUACCCUUGGAGGAAGCCCCGGCUAACUACGUGCCAGCAGCCGCGGUAAUACGUAGGGGGCGAGCGUUAUCCGGAAUUAUUGGGCGUAAAGAGUGCGUAGGUGGUUUCCUAAGCGCGAGGUUUAAGGCAAUAGCUUAACUAUUGUUCGCCUUGCGAACUGGGUUACUUGAGUGCAGGAGAGGAAAGUGGAAUUCCUAGUGUAGCGGUGAAAUGCGUAGAUAUUAGGAGGAACACCAGUGGCGAAGGCGACUUUCUGGACUGUUACUGACACUGAGGCACGAAAGCGUGGGGAGCAAAC
This 402-nucleotide ribosomal RNA is filed under the name uncultured bacterium. RNAcentral's name for it is "bacterial SSU rRNA". It matches the Rfam family "Bacterial small subunit ribosomal RNA", at positions 356 to 773 of the family's 1533-position model. The record is from RNAcentral.